AACGAACGCUGGCGGCAUGCCUAACACAUGCAAGUCGAACGAAGGCUUCGGCCUUAGUGGCGCACGGGUGCGUAACGCGUGGGAAUCUACCCUUAGGUACGGAAUAACAGUUAGAAAUGACUGCUAAUACCGGAUGAUGACGUAAGUCCAAAGAUUUAUCGCCUAAGGAUGAGCCCGCGUAGGAUUAGCUUGUUGGUGAG
This 200-nucleotide ribosomal RNA is filed under the name uncultured bacterium. RNAcentral's name for it is "partial 16S ribosomal RNA". It matches the Rfam family "Bacterial small subunit ribosomal RNA", at positions 29 to 256 of the family's 1533-position model. The record is from RNAcentral.